Long non-coding RNA from Vitis vinifera (wine grape), 335 nucleotides. RefSeq lists it as uncharacterized. Lineage: Eukaryota; Viridiplantae; Streptophyta; Magnoliopsida; Vitales; Vitaceae. The record is from RefSeq and is a predicted model, not a curated record. The transcript has 2 exons.
GUUAUUGGACGGUCGCCGGAGAAGAGUUCCAUGGCGGUGACCGUGGAGGGUAAAAAAAUCGCGGCCGAGGAGUAUGAGAGAGGUGAAAUGGGGUUAGUAAAAGCAAGUAAAAGAAGGCACAUUUGUGACGUUGAAGCCACCAUGGAUCAGCAUGGUGAGUGAUGAUGUGGCAUGAGCUGGCACCAUUCCAAUAUUCUAUUUUUAACAAAUAAUAAAUAAAUAUUGUGGGCCCCGGCCACUUGGGCUAGGUUAAUUCUUAUGUGGAGCCCCAAAGAGAGUACGCCCUUUGGGAUGAACAAGAACUAAAAUAAAAAUAAGCUUACAAAAGGAACUUG